This 362-nucleotide ribosomal RNA is filed under the name uncultured bacterium. Its description in RNAcentral is "partial 16S ribosomal RNA". It matches the Rfam family "Bacterial small subunit ribosomal RNA", at positions 338 to 698 of the family's 1533-position model. The record is from RNAcentral.
CCUACGGGAGGCAGCAGUGAGGAAUAUUGGUCAAUGGGCGGGAGCCUGAACCAGCCAAGUCGCGUGAGGGACGACGGUCCUAUGGAUUGUAAACCUCUUUUGUCGGGGAACAAAGGCUCCCACGGGUGGGCUGAUGCGUGUACCCGACGAAAAAGCAUCGGCUAACUCCGUGCCAGCAGCCGCGGUAAUACGGAGGAUGCGAGCGUUAUCCGGAUUUAUUGGGUUUAAAGGGUGCGUAGGCGGUGAGUCAAGUCAGCGGUAAAAAUGCGGUGCUAAACGCCGUACAGCCGUUGAAACGGGCAGGCUGGAGUGGGCGAGAGGGGGGCGGAAUGCGGGGUGUAGCGGUGAAAGGCAUAGAGAUC